Molecule: long non-coding RNA, 265 nt
Organism: Manis pentadactyla (Chinese pangolin)
Lineage: Eukaryota; Metazoa; Chordata; Mammalia; Pholidota; Manidae
Exons: 3
Source: RefSeq, a predicted model, not a curated record
ACUUGUGCAUCUUGUACUCACCCACUUCUGUUCUCCAAGAGUUUGAGGCCUCCAAGGUUCCUGGGGAGACUGGAUGGCCAUCCUUCUGACACAGCCACCAGGGUCUGGGUGUCCAGUGUGAACUCUAGCAGGCCCCAAGAGACCCCAUCCAUGCAAAGAACAUCUAGAGGACCAUGGAUGGUGACAUAAUGUCUCUCACUGGAGAGAGACAUCAAGAGACUACAUGUUAAGACUAUACCCCCAUUCUUGAAAGCCUUAAAAGACA